GCCUGAGGGGAAGGACCGCCAAGUACGAAAGGAACGGCGGGACGCGGCCUCUGGUGUACCGGUUGUCCGACAGGGCAUCGCCGGGUAGCCACGCCGUAGGGGAUAACCGCUGAAGGCAUCUAAGCGGGAAGCCCCCCCCGAAUAAUAGGCGGCCGUUCCGGCCUUCCUCCGGGAGGGCCGGACGAGGGCUCCGGAAGAACACCGGGUUGAUAGACGCCGGGUGUAAGCGGGAAGGGCGACCGACCCGUUCAGCCCAGGCGUACUAAUCGCCCGAGCU
RNAcentral lists this ribosomal RNA (277 nucleotides) under Methanobacteriota archaeon. RNAcentral's name for it is "partial 23S ribosomal RNA". It matches the Rfam family "Archaeal large subunit ribosomal RNA", at positions 2729 to 2973 of the family's 2987-position model. The record is from RNAcentral. Lineage: Archaea; Methanobacteriati; Methanobacteriota.